Molecule: non-coding RNA, 448 nt
Organism: Pelobates cultripes (western spadefoot toad)
Lineage: Eukaryota; Metazoa; Chordata; Amphibia; Anura; Pelobatidae
Source: the annotation of a GenBank genome assembly
CAACUCCCAUCACCCUUAACCCUGCAAGCGUAAUUACCUAUAUGAUCACAACCAUGUAACACCUAGGUGAUAUACGUGAACAUCACAAGUUAAAUCAAUAAAAUAUCCCCAAUCGAAUCUGACACUGUGUCAGUUGGAAUAGUGUAAAUCAACACUGUAUGGAUGAGAGCCCUGUGUAUAAUCAACAAAAGUUGUUUAUUUGGCAGAAAAAAUGUUGAACAAAAAAUAAUGACAAAAUGUGAAAAAAUGUACAGUCCCAGUGUGCACACACUAAAAGUAGCAAAAAUAAGCAUCAACUGGUGGAUGGUAUUGGAUGGAUCUCACCACUCCUGCUGUUGAGGAAAGUCCUGGAUUAAGUGAAGUUGCUGAGUGUAAUGGCUUGUCCAAGCCUGUAGGUGAAUAACCUUUCAUUACUAUGUGGAUCCCAGUAGCUGCUCCUCAGUUGUCC